This is a non-coding RNA of Nelumbo nucifera (sacred lotus), 896 nucleotides long. NCBI's taxonomy places the organism in Eukaryota, Viridiplantae, Streptophyta, Magnoliopsida, Proteales, Nelumbonaceae. The record is from RefSeq and is a predicted model, not a curated record.
CCCUGUCUUCUUGGCAAGCAUUGGAAUCUAACGGUAAAGACCUCUUCAAACCAUGGGUCGAAGUGCCAAAUUGACGCCCAUUGGAUCGCUGCUCGAUGUGACUUGAUGCUGAGUGACCCUCACUGAAGGCUCGUAGCUACAGCCAAACGAUGUGCCUUACUGACGCCCAUUUCUAACCGCCCACUCCAAUCUUCUACACUCUCUCUCUCUCUCUCUCGUGUCUGAAUAAUAAAUUCAGAGAAACCCUAUCACUCUAUCGCUUUCUCCUCCGACCCAAAUCCUACUCUCUCCGCUCUUCUUGAUUUUGUUUGCAGGUUUUCAUCAUUGUAGCUAAUCCUAACUUAUUUUCUACAUUUUCAGGUAUUCAAAACCCUAGCUAUUGAUUGUAGCGUAAAGUAUAGUUCAUUGAGAGCUUUUGUCUUCUCCUCCCUGCCUGUGAGAGUUCUGACUUCAGUCAUGGUAUUUCUCUACAUAUCUCAAACAAACAGUGAAGAUGAAUCAUUGCAGUCUACAGAGCCCCUUCAUCCUGUGAUGAGAGGAGCCCCUGGUUUUGGCCUCUUGAAUCAUGCCAUCAAUGACUCAAUCAGACCUUUGAGAUGGCAGUUAUGUCAUCUGCUCACCUAGAAGACAAUACAUAUGAUUGAGUUGAAGAGAUUAGCAUCAUAAGGCAUACUGGACGGUACUGGAACUUGUCCUAGCAUAUGAAAGGCGAUGACUUCUUCAGUUCUUUGAACUACUACAGCCUUUAACUGAUGUUUGGUUAAUGACCUAUUCAUAAAGAUAGAUUUUGUUUGUUGUUUUUUUUCCCUUCCUGUAAUUAAUGAAAUUUGUUCAUUUUUAUUCAAUUGAACUUCUCAUUUGAGUUAUGGAUAUCGGAAAGUUCAUUUUUUCCUUGA